Pristis pectinata (smalltooth sawfish) is the source of this 1305-nucleotide long non-coding RNA. RefSeq lists it as uncharacterized. The record is from RefSeq and is a predicted model, not a curated record. The transcript is spliced from 3 exons. NCBI's taxonomy places the organism in Eukaryota, Metazoa, Chordata, Chondrichthyes, Rhinopristiformes, Pristidae.
CUGCAUGCAGUUUAGAUGCUGUUCCUGUCUUCUUUGAGUGAAUGAUCACACUUCAAAAAUGCUUAACUGGCUGUGAAGCCAUUGAGGAUGUCAUCACAAAUGGUGCAAUUUAAGUGAAGGCUUCUGUUUAUAAUGCAAGUUGGAGACAAUUACUCAUAGAUUUAUAAUUCACGGAGUACAGGACUGUAUGUUCCAGUAAGAACAAGGACAAGAAUGACAAGAUGGGAGAUGCUGAAGACACAGAAAUCCAGUGUGAAUGUUAUUUUGAUGGUUAAAGGUAAAGCGGUUGCAGUCCUUCUGUUCAGCUGUAAGUGACAGAUCGCCACGAGGAGAACGUUGGAAAGCAGAAUCUCUGCAGCCACUGCACUUCCGUCAGGCUAAUGUAGGAGAAGUGCUUCAGGAAAACCUGUUGUGGAUAUCUCAGGAUACCAACCCGGGUAAGCCUGGCUGCUGAGCGAGGAGACGUCACAGAAGGCAGCUAAUUCACCCGUAGACACUUGAUCAGACAUUGGCAUUUUGCUUGCAAUAGCAGGUAGUUUAGACAUAUUGCACAUGGUGAAUCAUCAGACAUGAGUACCCACAGUAAGGUGCCAGCUUCUCAGAGGACAAAGGUUCACAAAUGUUUUACUCCAGAGGAUUCUUUGAGGACUCAGAUGGGUGAUCGACGAAGGCUGAUGGGAAUGUACGUCACCAUGCUUGAGUAUUGAUUGCUCUGUGUGAAAGCCUGCAUGAAUUUUCCAGUCCAGCUCCAACCUUUGCCGAGACUUUAUGUGGAGCCUGGAGACUAUCCUUUCCAACUUGAUGCCAACACUCGCUUUGGAUCUCUGUAUUCAAAGAGGCAUGUUUCCUGGAUCUCACUGACUAUCUGCAUCCAUAGGUACUUCUCCUGGUUAAAACUCCCCUCACUGUACUUACUGACAUUCAGGUGGGAUUCAUUUCUGAGAUUUUCAAAUGUUGGUCUUAGAAAAAGCUCAGUGACUGAACUUCCAAGGCUGUUGUCUAUCAUUCUCCCUGCCCAUCAUUCUCCUAUGGGUGUUAGCGUUGACCUGACAUCCAUGCCAGCAAUUUAACAAACCAUUCAGUUUUCCUCAACAUUUCGUGCUCUGUUGAAUCCUGUCGACUAUCCUUUGAAAUGUUUUUGUUUAACAACUAUGUGAAUAGGACAUUUCCUGAGCUUUUAAGUAGCUCUUUCUUCAUAAGAUAUACACAAAAAUUGCAUCUAGUCUUGUCGUACAAUGUUCAGGUAGAGCAUAAGUUUCAACUUCUCAUGAUAAAGUUUAUUCAAAUUCUUCUAUCCCAUUAAUA